RNAcentral lists this long non-coding RNA (994 nucleotides) under Elaeis guineensis (African oil palm). RNAcentral describes it as "long non-coding RNA (EGUI_LNC076217)". Lineage: Eukaryota; Viridiplantae; Streptophyta; Magnoliopsida; Arecales; Arecaceae. The record is from RNAcentral.
GUUGGUAAUUAGUGGGCCCUGCCAAUGGAGAUUAUACUUGGUACUCAGUGGACUCUACUAGUGGGGGUUGUACGCUAGUAUUUAGUGGACCUUACUAGUGAGGGUUGUGCGCUGGUAUUCAGUGAACCCUGCAAGUAGAGAUUAUGCGCUAGUAUUCAGUGGACCCCAUCAAUAAAGGUUAAACGUUGGUCAUAGUCGUGGCUUUUGAGUUAUAAGUGUUUUGAUUUGAAUCGGAUUUAUAAUUAUAUUGUAUAUAAAUAUUUGAAAAGAUUGGAUUUGCAUUGAAUUAGCGUGAAAUAUAUUUUUAUAUUUAUUCACAGCAUUGUUCUUAAAUAUUAUAUAAUAUCUGAAAUAUCUAGUUGAGAUAUUUGUUACUUACUGGACUGUCUAGCUCAUUACCUCUCUUUUUAUUUUUUUCAGAUUCAGAUAAUUAAUUGUGAGUGUGGAUAAUAAUGUUGGGACAAAGCUUUAAGAGAUGAGAUUUAGCUUUAUCAACUUCAUUGAACUUAGAUCUAUUAUUUUAUUUUUAGUGAAACUUUAUUGGAUGUAAGACAUUUGAUUUAGUUAUUUGAAUUAAAGUUGAAUAAUAAUUAUUUGAAUUUAUUCUACUGUGAUGUAUUGAUAUCGUGAUGAGAUGCCUUGUAUGCUUAUGGAGAGUUCUUCAUAAGUAUGCGACGGUUGCCAUAGCCUCUGGCUCGCGAUCUUGGGUCGGAGGCAUGACAAUUAAUGUGGGAUCAGAGCAUAAGUAAAAUUAUGACACAUUGAAUCAGAUAUGAGUGUAGACGGAUAGACACAAGGGACAUUGGGACAAUAAAUUAUAUUAAUUAUGAUAUGACUUAGAAACCUAGAUUUGACAUAAGUGCAUUGAUGAGUGCGCAGUGGAAGCAUAGUGGUUUGAGUUAUUUUCAAGUUAAUGAGAACAAUAAUUCGAUUUGAAAAAUGUUAUAAUGAAGGAUUCGAUUUAGAAAUUUGGGGAUUGACUAUGACUUGAGAG